GCAUUGGUGGUUCAGUGGUAGAUUUCUUGCCUGCCACACAGAAGACCCUGGUCCGAUUCCUGGCCAAUGCA
Danio rerio (zebrafish) is the source of this 71-nucleotide non-coding RNA. The record is from Rfam. NCBI's taxonomy places the organism in Eukaryota, Metazoa, Chordata, Actinopteri, Cypriniformes, Danionidae.